This 498-nucleotide ribosomal RNA is filed under the name uncultured bacterium. RNAcentral describes it as "partial 16S ribosomal RNA". It matches the Rfam family "Bacterial small subunit ribosomal RNA", at positions 27 to 507 of the family's 1533-position model. The record is from RNAcentral.
GGAUGAACGCUGGCGGCGUGCCUAAUACAUGCAAGUCGAGCGAACGGACGAGAAGCUUGCUUCUCUGAUGUUAGCGGCGGACGGGUGAGUAACACGUGGAUAACCUACCUAUAAGACUGGGAUAACUUCGGGAAACCGGAGCUAAUACCGGAUGAUAUUUUGAACCGCAUGGCUCAAAAGUGAAAGACGGUCUUGCUGUCACUUAUAGAUGGAUCCGCGCUGCAUUAGCUAGUUGGUAAGGUAACGGCUUACCAAGGCAACGAUGCAUAGCCGACCUGAGAGGGUGAUCGGCCACACUGGAACUGAGACACGGUCCAGACUCCUACGGGAGGCAGCAGUAGGGAAUCUUCCGCAAUGAGCGAAAGCCUGACGGAGCAACGCCGCGUGAGUGAUGAAGGUCUUCGGAUCGUAAAACUCUGUUAUUAGGGAAGAACAUAUGUGUAAGUAACUGUGCACAUCUUGACGGUACCUAAUCAGAAAGCCACGGCUAACUACGUG